This 254-nucleotide ribosomal RNA is filed under the name uncultured bacterium. Its description in RNAcentral is "partial 16S ribosomal RNA". It matches the Rfam family "Bacterial small subunit ribosomal RNA", at positions 524 to 776 of the family's 1533-position model. The record is from RNAcentral.
UACGGAGGGUGCGAGCGUUGUUCGGAAUUAUUGGGCGUAAAGCGCACGUAGGCGGUUCGAGAAGUCUCGAGGUGAAAGGCCGGGGCUCAACCCCGUGCUGGCCGGAGAUACUCUUGGACUGGAGACAGGGAGAGGCCAGUGGAAUUCCGGGUGUAGCGGUGGAAUGCGUAGAGAUCCGGAAGAACACCGGAGGCGAAGGCGGCUGGCUGGCCCUGAUCUGACGCUGAGGUGCGAAAGCGUGGGGAGCGAACAGG